AUUGGCCCCUAUUCCAUCCUUCCUUUACCAGGUUAUUUGGAAGUAUUAUUUCUCAUCUGUGAAUAUCAAGUCUAAACAAGGACAGUUCUUAGUGGUUUUGUUUGUUUGUUUGUUUGUCUUUUUAGGGCCACACCCAAGGCUUAUGGAGGUUCCAAGGUUAGGGGUCCAAUUGGAGCUGUAGCCACUGGCCUAUGCCACAGCCACAGCAACACUGGAUCUGAGCUGAGUCUGCAACCUACAACACAGCUUGCGGCAAUGCCGGAUCCUUAACUCACUGGGAUCGAACCCGCAUCCUCAUGGAUUCUAGUCGGGUUUGUUAACUGCUGAGCCAUGACGGGAAUUCCUUUCUUAGUGUUUUUAAUAAAUAAUACUGCUUUGCAAAUCCUUCAUAUUCACUGUGAUUUACAAAACAAAAAUGAGUAUAAUUAGAUGCAGAAAAAUCAUUCUUCACUUUAUAGAAGGAUUUAUUUUCAGAACACAUUUUUUUUGUGCAUUUCAAAUGUAAUUUGUCUUUUACUCUCCAGUAUUUUUAAAAAUUUUUUCCCUUUUUUUUCUCUCCAAUAUUUUGAAUCUCUGUAAGUUCUCUUGUAAUAUUCUAUCUACUUUCAAUACACAUAUUUGGUAAUUCUUUUGAUACAUUUCACCUUGUUUACCUGAGAAAAACUUCUAAAUAUCUGAACACUUAUAAGGUUAUCUUUGCCUUUUGGGAUAGCAACUUGACACAAAAUAGCAGUUUGUUACAAAAGGUGUAAAUGACUUCGAAACAGAUGGAUUAUAUUUCUGUGAAUAAAUACAGUUAAAGGUUUAAAAGCUUGGAGAAAAAUAUGUGCUAGAAACCAAUGGCUGAACAGGUGUGCUGGGAGGUGUGACUAACCUCAAAGAGCUAAGAGUCCCCUUCUGAGUCCCAAUCAAAAUGUUCCUUUGGUUACUCAUGUCUGUUUAUCCACACAUGGUUACUGUUCCUUAGUGUUUGCAACUAACUUGAAAUUUUCAGAGUUAGACUAUGUGGCACACACAUGAAAGGAACCAUAUUUGAAACCACUUCCUCAUAGCUUAGACCUACCAACUAUGGCAGGCAGUAGUCACAUCAUUUCUAGCUCCUGGCUCUGUUGUCAAUGGGCACUUGUUGCAUCCAGUAAUUGAUUCUAUUGCAUCUCUGGAGUUUGCAUCAUUGCAUCAUUGAGUCAGGUCUAGAGUUUGCUCAAUUAGAUAGGACCAAUAAGCUGAAUUCCCAAGCAAAUCUGAUGUUUGAUAUCCAGAAGAGGGCAGUAGGACACAAAGAUUAAAUCCUGGUCAACCAGACACUACAAUACAUAGUGGCUGCUAGCAACUGCUCAGCAUUGGACCAAACACUCACCUUCCCUUUGACAGUCCAUGAGCAUAAUGGGAGGCUAAGAGAACUAACACUUUCUGCCACCCUACUGUGUAUCAAGCUCUAACGAGGUAUUUUUCACCUGUUAAAUCAUUACAAUCUUGAAAUGUAGGUGAUAUACUACUUUCCUUUGUAUUCAUGACAAAAUCAAUGCUCAGAGAACUCAAACAACUUGCUGGAGGUCACACAGCAAGAAGGAAAACCAAAGUUAAAAUCCAGAUCUGACUCCAUGGGCUCUAUUCAACCAUAUCAGAAUUCGAUUACUGACCCCAAUUUUCAUAAACUUACUGAUCCUGGGCAAGUAAUUUGACCAUUUAGAAAUCCAAUUUCUUCAUCUUUAAGGUAAGGCUAGCAAUAUCCUCUUACUUUUAGGAAUUAGUGUCUGGAUUGUUUUUUUACAUGAUAAUCUCUAUACAACGUAGUGAGUUUUAUUCAUUGAUAGUAUUUUAAUUUAGAAUAUAAAUUAUAGAAAAUUAAAUCUAGCAGGGACACAAGAGUGGUAUCCAAUACUUUCAUCUUAGAGAUUAUGAAAACAAACCUGGAGGGUUUCUAUGAUUUGCAUAUGAUCAGAAAACUUGAGAGUGACAAACACUGGGACUCAGGACUGGCAACUCUUAGCCAGCUUUCUCCUCUCAUUUCUGUGUACCAUUAGUUAUGGAGACAGACACAGAUGACAUGAUGAUAAUAGCAUUGCUGAUGAGGAUGAAGAUAACAAUAAAUGUGUCUGAGGAAAUGAUAGAAAAUUUACUUCAUUUUAGAAGGAAUUUAUUUUAUUAGUAAAUCCUGCUUUUCUUGUUCUCUCUGUAAGGGAGAUCAAUAUGUGUCUAAGUCUGUAAAAUUUGUCUAAGACAGCUGACUUACAAGAGGGUGGGAAAGGCCAGUGCAUGCACAAUUGUGAUACUUUCCAAAUGAGAAAUGCUAAAAUGCAGACUCUAAUCAAUGCUAAUCUUGGAUUUCUAUGAUUCUCUAUUAGCAAAUCUUUCUGGCUUUCCCAAGAAUCUGUGAUGGGAAAUUGGCAAUUUGGAAACAAUGUGAGAGAUGGAUCUAACAUAGCAGUGACUCUUUUGGAAGAUUUUUAGGUAACUCACCAUAUUUUAUUCCAUUUCUUAUGGCUUCUUUGUUUAAAAAUUUGGUAUAAUAUUUCCAGUCCUCCAAAUCUUACACUCCUAGAAAAUUGGAUAAGAAGAAGGAAAACAAAAAGAGAAAGAAAUGAAAGAAGAAGAAGGGAUUUCCCAUCAUGGCUCAGUGGGAUAAGAACCUGUCUAGUAUCCAUGAGGAUGCAGGUUCGAUCCCUGACCUCAUUCAGUGAGUUAAGGAUCAGAAGUGGCUGUGAGCUGUGGUAUAGGUCACAGACGUGGUUUGGAUCAUGCAUUGGUGUGGUUGUGGUGUAGGCCAGCAGCUGCAGUUCUGAUAUGACCCCUGGCUUGGGAACCUCUGUAUGCCGCAGAUGAGGCCCUAAAAAGCAAUCAAAAAAGAGAAAGGAAAGAAGAAGAAAUCGUUUAGUUUUCAUCACCAAGGAGCUGAGAGGCAAAAGCACCUUGUGUAGUGUUUGGAGAAUUUCCUGGUUUCCACUGGCUUCUGGAUUUAUGGGCUAGAGCUAGGAAAGUUGAUAGUCAAUUAAACAAAUUUAAGGAGCUUUCUAUUUAAAUGUACCUUCAAUCAGAAUAACUGGUUUCCUUAAUUCACCCAAAUAUGUUUUUUGUGUGUGUUAAAAUUGUUUGAAAAUAGAGAUGUAUAAUAGUUUAAGUGCUCUAUCCCCUUGCUUACUCUGGGCAUAAUUUCCCAGAUCUCAUACGUUUCUUUUAUUUCAUCAGAUAAUUAGGGCUCUCCCUUUUCCUUGCAGUGUUGGGGAAAGAACUUCUCAGGGGUCCGAAGAGAGGAAAUUUAGGUGGUGAAGCAUGAACUCAUAUCCCCAGAGCUCAAGAAUGGCUGUCCUGGAGGUCGAGGGAACUGACAGGUGGAGACCAGUGAUGUUACUGCUUCCAAACUCAGCACCUAAACAUCUGCAUUGCUCAUUGGCUAUUAGUCAUAUAAUGCCUGUUCCAGUUUUCUGUUAUCCCUGGCUAAAUCUUAGACAGGCAUGCUUCAGAGAUAUUGCAAGUUUGGUUCCAGACAACUACAAUAAAUCUAAUACUGAAACAAAAGUGAGUCACAUGAAUUGACUGCCUCUUCUUUUCAUGAAUUAUUUCUCUGUAGCAUGCAAUGCUAUUUGAUAACAUUUUAUACAGAGAACUUCUUUCAACUUUGGAGUCAGUUUUCUCAAACAGUGUUGCUGCUCUAUCAACUAAGUUUAUGAAAUAUACUAAAUUUUAUGUUGUUAUUUCAAUAAUAUUCACAGCAUCUUCACCAGGAAUAGAUUCUAUCUCAAGAAACUGCUUUCUUUGCUCAUAUCUAAGAAGGAAUUCCUCAUUUGUUAAAGUUUUAUCAUGGGAUUGUGGCAAUUUUGGUCAGAUCUUGAAGCUCUACUUCUAAUUCUAAUACUCCUGCUAUUUCUACCACAUUUGCAGUUAUUUCCUACAAUGAAGUUUUGAAGCCCUCAAAGUUAUCCAUGAGGUUUGGAAUCAACUUCUUCCAAACUUCUGUUAAGUGUUGAUAUUUUGAUCUCUUCUCACGACUCACAAAUGUUCCUAAUGGCAUCUAGAAUGGUGAAUUCUUUCCAGAGAUUUUCAAUUUAUUUUGCCCAGAUCCAUCAGAGGAAUCACUAUCUGUCGCAGCUAUAGCCUUACCAAAUGUAUUUCUUAUAGAAUAAGACUUGAAAGUAAGUGUGAUUCCUUGAUCCAUGGACUGUAGAAUGGAUGUCGUGUUAGCAGCCAUGAAAACAACAUUAAUUUCAUUUUAAAUCUCCAUUAGAGCUCUUAAGUGACCAGGUGCAUUGUCAGUGAGCAGAAAUAUUUUGAAAGGAAUCUUUGUUUCUGAGCAGUAAGUCUCAAGAGUGGGCUUAAAAUAUUCAGUUAAAUCAAGUUGUAAACAGAUGUGCUAUCAUCCAGGCUUUGUUGUUCCAUUUAUAGAGCACAGACAGAGUAGAUUUAGCAUAAUACUUAAGGGCCCUAGGAUUUCCCAGUGGUAAAGAACGUUGGCUUCAACUUAAAGUCACCAGCUGCAUUGGCCCCUAAGAAGAAAGGCAGCCUCUGAAGUCUCUGAAGCUUUGAAGCCAGGCAUUGACUUCUCCUCACUAGCUACAAGAGUCGUAGAUGGAGUCUCCUUCCAAUAUAAGGCUGUUUUAUCUACAUUGACUAUCUGUUUAGUUAGCCACCUUCGUGAAUCAUCUUAGCUAUACCUUCUGGGUAUCUUGCUGCAGCUGCUAUAACAACACAACUUGCUGCUGCACCUUGUACUUUUAUGUUGUGGAGACAGCUUCUUUCCUUAAAAUUCACUGACCUGGAGUUCCCGUAGUGGCGCAGUGGUUAACGAAUCUGACUAGGAACCAUGAGGUUGCGGGUUCGGUCCCUGCCCUUGCUCAGUGGGUUGACGAUCCGGCGUUGCCGUGGGCUGUGGUGUAGGUUGCAGACGUGGCUCGGAUCCCGCGUUGCUGUGGCUCUGGCGUAGGCCGGUGGCUACAGCUCCGAUUCAGCCCCUAGCCUGGGAACCUCCAUAUGCCGCGGGAGCGGCCCAAGAAAUAGCAACAACAACAACAACCAAAAAGACAAAAG
Molecule: long non-coding RNA, 5022 nt
Filed under: Sus scrofa (pig)
Lineage: Eukaryota; Metazoa; Chordata; Mammalia; Artiodactyla; Suidae
Description: lncRNA (ENSSSCG00000053707.1)
Source: RNAcentral